RNAcentral lists this ribosomal RNA (232 nucleotides) under Salmonella enterica subsp. enterica serovar Infantis. RNAcentral's name for it is "partial 23S ribosomal RNA". It matches the Rfam family "Bacterial large subunit ribosomal RNA", at positions 161 to 431 of the family's 2925-position model. The record is from RNAcentral. RNAcentral also lists the same sequence under 1 other name. Lineage: Bacteria; Pseudomonadati; Pseudomonadota; Gammaproteobacteria; Enterobacterales; Enterobacteriaceae.
AAUCCAUAGGUUAAUGAGGCGAACCGGGGGAACUGAAACAUCUAAGUACCCCGAGGAAAAGAAAUCAACCGAGAUUCCCCCAGUAGCGGCGAGCGAACGGGGAGGAGCCCAGAGCCUGAAUCAGCAUGUGUGUUAGUGGAAGCGUCUGGAAAGGCGCGCGAUACAGGGUGACAGCCCCGUACACAAAAGCGCAUGUGCUGUGAGCUCGAUGAGUAGGGCGGGACACGUGGUA